ACUCCUACGGGAGGCAGCAGUAGGGAAUCUUCCACAAUGGACGAAAGUCUGAUGGAGCAAUGCUGCGUGAGUGAAGAAGGGUUUCGGCUCGUAAAACUCUGUUGUUAAAGAAGAACACUCUUGAGAGUAACUGUUCAGGAGUUGACGGUAUUUAACCAGAAAGCCACGGCUAACUACGUGCCAGCAGCCGCGGUAAUAC
RNAcentral lists this ribosomal RNA (199 nucleotides) under uncultured Lactobacillus sp. Its description in RNAcentral is "partial 16S ribosomal RNA". It matches the Rfam family "Bacterial small subunit ribosomal RNA", at positions 335 to 526 of the family's 1533-position model. Lineage: Bacteria; Bacillati; Bacillota; Bacilli; Lactobacillales; Lactobacillaceae. The record is from RNAcentral.